GAUGAUUGCAGGCAGGAGCAUCUUGCUGUGCAACUUAUUUCUCAUUUUUAUGGUAGGUGCUUGUAGAUAAUAUUGGUCUUCAUGGCUAAUUGAUCAAUACUUUCAGUCUGAAAGUUGCCAUUGUUUUGCUGCAUCCUUUACUGCUAAAUUGUGCAAGAAUUGCAAUAGUGUGUUCUUGGGGAAAUGCGAGGAACUUGUUGAUGUAGAACCAGGAAAUUAGAUAUCAAAGGAAACAAAUUCCUUGAAAAAGAGAAACAAAUUCUCUAGAGAACAAUGAGAAACAAAUUCUCAGGAAUAAGGAGAAACUAAUUCUCAAAUAAACUUUAUUGAAUCUCAAUUGUAAUCAUAAUCAAGUUACUGAUAAUAAAAAACCUGGAACCAUUAGUAGAAUUUUUAGAAACCCUAAUUCAUAUCUAAU
This 418-nucleotide unclassified non-coding RNA is filed under the name Hevea brasiliensis (rubber tree). The record is from RNAcentral. Lineage: Eukaryota; Viridiplantae; Streptophyta; Magnoliopsida; Malpighiales; Euphorbiaceae.